Molecule: long non-coding RNA, 978 nt
Organism: Onychostruthus taczanowskii (white-rumped snowfinch)
Lineage: Eukaryota; Metazoa; Chordata; Aves; Passeriformes; Passeridae
Exons: 3
Source: RefSeq, a predicted model, not a curated record
UGGCUCGCCCUGUGCUGCCCAAAGGACAGAUGACAGACGGUGCUCCCUGCUCUGACACACAGAACACAGAAAAAUCCCAAGGGCCACUGACAGUCCCACUGGAGAUUUUCCUUGGCACACACAAAGGGCUGAUGGGUAAUAAAAUACCUGAAGAAAGGAGCCGCCCAACCAUCCUAGGAGACGCUACAUUGUGUGCAGAGCUGUUUCUACUCCUGCCUCUACGUUCUCCAGGGCUCCCGGCUUCAAUAUGUCGGCUGUGUACAGUUUCCUGCCAGGGGCUCAUCGGAGCGGUGUUGCCCCUCUGUCCUGGAUCUCACCACCACCAUGGCUCUUUAAAGCUCUGGCCACACUCUCGGGGUCGCUGCCACUCCAGCACCGAGGCACAAUCGCUGCCGCUAUUCUUGGCUUGAGAACUGCUCUGCUGAAGGGCUCCUGAAAAUAGUCGGUUUCCUCCUGAAGACAUUUUUUCUCUGUUUCUCUGCAAUAGCCUCUGAAUACUGGUCGGGUUCAAUCUCAUUUCAGAAACAACAGAUAAAUGGAAAUCAAAUCUGUUUGGUUUUUUUUCUAUUCGGAAAAUGAUUAUCAAAUGCACCCAGGAACUAGGCUUGAGAGUCAAUUUUGCAAGAACAGUUUUAAGUGGAACUAUUGUUGUGGUACAUUACAUUCCUUUAAAACUAACUAUACAUGAUGGAAAUUUCCAUUAGUUAAAAUGAUUUGUCAAAACUGGGCUCCUUGUAUUUUUCCUAUAAAUAACACAAACUUCCUAUAAUCAACUUCAAUUUAUGAAUGCAAGUACUUAUAUAGGGCACCUAUUGAAGGGAACUGUUUUUGCCAGUCAGGGUACACAGACACACAAAGAAGAACCCCAAGAAAUGAGUCACAGCCCAACAAAAAGCUUGGGAGCAAAAUGAAGUCCAGCUUCCAACUAACUGUGCUGGCAGAGCACAUCUGUUCCCUUUCUAUCUUGGACCAACUUUG